CGGGGACAGGAUGACAGGUGGUGCAUGGUUGUCGUCAGCUCGUGUCGUGAGAUGUUGGGUUAAGUCCCGCAACGAGCGCAACCCUUGAUCUUAGUUGCCAGCAUUUAGUUGGGCACUCUAAGGUGACUGCCGGUGACAAACCGGAGGAAGGUGGGGAUGACGUCAAAUCAUCAUGCCCCUUAUGACCUGGGCUACACACGUGCUACAAUGGAUGGUACAAAGGGCAGCAAAACCGCGAGGUCGAGCCAAUCCCAUAAAACCAUUCUCAGUUCGGAUUGUAGGCUGCAACUCGCCUACAUGAAGCUGGAAUCGCUAGUAAUCGCGGAUCAGCAUGCCGCGGUGAAUACGUUCCCGGGCCUUGUACACACCGCCCGUCAAACCACGA
This 385-nucleotide ribosomal RNA is filed under the name uncultured Bacillus sp. Its description in RNAcentral is "bacterial SSU rRNA". It matches the Rfam family "Bacterial small subunit ribosomal RNA", at positions 1021 to 1407 of the family's 1533-position model. Lineage: Bacteria; Bacillati; Bacillota; Bacilli; Caryophanales; Bacillaceae. The record is from RNAcentral.